GGAAAGGUAUACCGCCCCAGGCUGGUAAACAGAGCAGGGAAAAGCCCUCGCUCUUGGUAGUGGGAGGAUCUCGUAUCAGAAUUCUGAUGUG
RNAcentral lists this non-coding RNA (91 nucleotides) under Phytophthora infestans (potato late blight agent). RNAcentral also lists the same sequence under 1 other name. The record is from RNAcentral. Lineage: Eukaryota; Oomycota; Peronosporomycetes; Peronosporales; Peronosporaceae.